Molecule: ribosomal RNA, 478 nt
Filed under: uncultured bacterium
Lineage: Bacteria
Description: partial 16S ribosomal RNA
Rfam family: Bacterial small subunit ribosomal RNA
Source: RNAcentral
GAUGAACGCUGGCGGCGUGCUUAACACAUGCAAGUCGAACGAGAAGUGGAGACGGAAACCUUCGGGCGGAAGACUUUACUUCGAGUGGCGGACGGGUGAGUAACGCGUGGGUAACCUGCCUCAUACAGGGGGAUAACAGUUGGAAACGACUGUUAAUACCGCAUAAGACCACAGCACCGCAUGGUGCGGGGGUAAAAACUCCGGUGGUAUGAGAUGGACCCGCGUUCGAUUAGCCAGAUGGCGGGGUAACGGCCCACCAAAGCGACGAUCGAUAGCCGAUCAGAGAGGAUGACCGGCCACAUUGGGACUGAGACACGGCCCAAACUCCUACGGGAGGCAGCAGUGGGGAAUAUUGCACAAUGGGGGAAACCCUGAUGCAGCGACGCCGCGUGAGUGAAGAAGUAUUUCGGUAUGUAAAGCUCUAUCAGCAGGGAAGAAAAUGACAGUACCUGAGUAAGAAGCCCCGGCUAACUACGUG